GAUGAACGCUGGCGGCGUGCCUAAUACAUGCAAGUCGAGCGAACAGAUAAGGAGCUUGCUCCUUUGACGUUAGCGGCGGACGGGUGAGUAACACGUGGGUAACCUACCUAUAAGACUGGGAUAACUUCGGGAAACCGGAGCUAAUACCGGAUAACAUUUGGAACCGCAUGGUUCUAAAGUGAAAGAUGGUUUUGCUAUCACUUAUAGAUGGACCCGCGCCGUAUUAGCUAGUUGUUAAGGUAACGGCUUACCAAGGCAACGAUACGUAGCCGACCUGAGAGGGUGAUCGGCCACACUGGAACUGAGACACGGUCCAGACUCCUACGGGAGGCAGCAGUAGGGAAUCUUCCGCAAUGGGCGAAAGCCUGACGGAGCAACGCCGCGUGAGUGAUGAAGGGUUUCGGCUCGUAAAACUCUGUUAUUAGGGAAGAACAAACGUGUAAGUAACUGUGCACGUCUUGACGGUACCUAAUCAGAAAGCCACGGCUAACUACGUG
This 497-nucleotide ribosomal RNA is filed under the name uncultured bacterium. RNAcentral's name for it is "partial 16S ribosomal RNA". It matches the Rfam family "Bacterial small subunit ribosomal RNA", at positions 28 to 507 of the family's 1533-position model. The record is from RNAcentral.